RNAcentral lists this unclassified non-coding RNA (237 nucleotides) under Hevea brasiliensis (rubber tree). Lineage: Eukaryota; Viridiplantae; Streptophyta; Magnoliopsida; Malpighiales; Euphorbiaceae. The record is from RNAcentral.
UUUCGCAAUGCACAAAACAUCAAGCAGCAAUGCCUAUUUUCAUAUAAGUCACCGCUGACCGGCCCCAGCUUGAUCCAGCGCAAAUCAAUUCCGGCCUCAAGAGGCGAUCUCCAACCCAUACGGGUUUUGGGGAUGCACUAUGAGCGGGUCAAGUCCAGUCGGUACGGCUCCAGGUCGGGCGCUUUGGCUUUCGACCAUUGCUUUCACGAUCUGCUUUGCAGUUUGGACGAUCUUCUC